Molecule: ribosomal RNA, 271 nt
Filed under: uncultured bacterium
Lineage: Bacteria
Description: partial 16S ribosomal RNA
Rfam family: Bacterial small subunit ribosomal RNA
Source: RNAcentral
UACAGAGGGUGCGAGCGUUAAUCGGAAUUACUGGGCGUAAAGCGUGCGUAGGCGGAUAUUUAAGUCGAAUGUGAAAUCCCUGGGCUUAACCUGGGAACUGCAUCCGAUACUGGGUAUCUGGAGUAUGGUAGAGGAAAGUGGAAUUCCCGGUGUAGCGGUGGAAUGCGUAGAUAUCGGGAGGAACACCAGUGGCGAAGGCGACCACCUGGACUGAUACUGACACUGAGGUGCGAAAGCGUGGGGAGCAAACAGGAUUAGAAACCCCAGUAGU